CAGCAGUCGCCGCGGUAAUACCGAGGGUGCGAGCGUUAAUCGGAUUUACUGGGCGUAAAGCGUGCGUAGGCGGCUUCUUAAGUCGGAUGUGAAAUCCCUGAGCUUAACUUAGGAAUUGCAUUCGAUACUGGGAAGCUAGAGUAUGGGAGAGGAUGGUAGAAUUCCAAGUGUAGCGGUGAAAUGCGUAGAGAUCUGGAGGAAUACCGAUGGCGAAGGCAGCCAUCUGGCCUAAUACUGACGCUGAGGUACGAAAGCAUGGGGAGCAAACAGGAUUAGAUACCCCUGUAGUCCCUGUCUCUUAUAC
This 304-nucleotide ribosomal RNA is filed under the name uncultured bacterium. Its description in RNAcentral is "partial 16S ribosomal RNA". It matches the Rfam family "Bacterial small subunit ribosomal RNA", at positions 509 to 807 of the family's 1533-position model. The record is from RNAcentral.